This 468-nucleotide ribosomal RNA is filed under the name uncultured bacterium. RNAcentral describes it as "partial 16S ribosomal RNA". It matches the Rfam family "Bacterial small subunit ribosomal RNA", at positions 28 to 507 of the family's 1533-position model. The record is from RNAcentral.
GACGAACGCUGGCGGCGUGCUUAACACAUGCAAGUCGAACGGAAAGGCCCUGCUUUUGUGGGGUGCUCGAGUGGCGAACGGGUGAGUAACACGUGAGUAACCUGCCCUUGACUUUGGGAUAACUUCAGGAAACUGGGGCUAAUACCGGAUAGGAGCUCCUGCUGCAUGGUGGGGGUUGGAAAGUUUCGGCGGUUGGGGAUGGACUCGCGGCUUAUCAGCUUGUUGGUGGGGUAGUGGCUUACCAAGGCUUUGACGGGUAGCCGGCCUGAGAGGGUGACCGGCCACAUUGGGACUGGGAUACGGCCAAGACUCCUACGGGAGGCAGAAGUGGGGAAUAUUGCACAAUGGGCGGAAGCCUGAUGCAGCAACGCGGCGUGCGGGAUGACGGCCUUCGGGUUGUAACCCGUUUUCGCCUGUGACGAAGCGUGAGUGACGGUAAUGGGUAAAGAAGCACCGGCUAACUACGUG